GAUGAAGAACGUAGCGAAAUGCGAUACGUAAUGUGAAUUGCAAAUUCAGUGAAUCAUCGAGUCUUUGAACGCACAUUGCGCCCCCUGGUAUUCCGGGGGGCAUGCCUGUCCGAGCGUCAUUGCUGCCCUCAAGCACGGCUUGUGUGUUGGGCCCCGUCCUCCGAUCCCGGGGGACGGGCCCGAAAGGCAGCGGCGGCACCGCGUCCGGUCCUCGAGCGUAUGGGGCUUUGUCACCCGCUCUGUAGGCCCGGCCGGCGCUUGCCGAUCAACCCAAAUUUUUUAUCCAGGUUGACCUCGGAUCAGGUAGGGAUACCCGCUGAACUUAAGCAUAUCAAUAAGCGGGGA
This 345-nucleotide unclassified non-coding RNA is filed under the name soil metagenome. RNAcentral describes it as "partial contains 5.8S ribosomal RNA, internal transcribed spacer 2, and large subunit ribosomal RNA". The stretch from base 1 to 119 matches the Rfam family "5.8S ribosomal RNA", at positions 35 to 154 of the family's 154-position model. The record is from RNAcentral.